RNAcentral lists this ribosomal RNA (42 nucleotides) under Umbilicaria pennsylvanica. Its description in RNAcentral is "partial 26S ribosomal RNA". Lineage: Eukaryota; Fungi; Ascomycota; Lecanoromycetes; Umbilicariales; Umbilicariaceae. The record is from RNAcentral.
UGACCUCGGAUCAGGUAGGGAUACCCGCUGAACUUAAGCAAA